This 255-nucleotide non-coding RNA is filed under the name Clostridium bornimense. Its description in RNAcentral is "T-box sequence". It matches the Rfam family "T-box leader". Rfam says of the family: Uncharged tRNA acts as the effector for transcription antitermination of genes in the T-box leader family. T-boxes are found upstream of many aminoacyl-tRNA synthetase genes and some amino acid biosynthetic genes usually in Gram-positive bacteria. The record is from RNAcentral. Lineage: Bacteria; Bacillati; Bacillota; Clostridia; Eubacteriales; Clostridiaceae.
AUAAAUACUAUGAUAAAGAGAGUAAGUUCAUUGAUAAGUUGUAGAGAGCAGAUGAUGGUGAGAUAUCUGUACGAGUCAUGAAUGGAAGAACACUUUGGAGUAGCUAACCGAAAUUCUUAUAUAAUGGGAAGAGUAGACUUAGACGGGAUCACGCCGUUACAAGUGAAGGGUAUCGAGUAAAAUCUGUACCUUUGAGCUGGACUUUUAUAAGUCAAAUGGGGUGGCACCGCGGUAUGUUAAAAUCUCGUCCCUGUA